CCUACGGGUGGCAGCAGUGAGGAAUAUUGGUCAAUGGGCGAGAGCCUGAACCAGCCAAGUCGCGUGAAGGAAGAAGGAUCUAUGGUUUGUAAACUUCUUUUAUAUGGGAAUAAAGUGAGGAACGUGUCCCUUUUUGUAUGUACCACAUGAAUAAGCAUUGGCUAACUCCGUGCCAGCAGCCGCGGUAAUACGGAGGGUGCGAGCGUUAAUCGGAAUUACUGGGCGUAAAGCGCUCGUAGGCGGUAUGUCAAGUCAAGGGUGAAAUUCGCGCGCUGAAAGUCUGUACUGCCUUUGAAACUGGCAAACUGGAGUGUGUGAGAGGAUAGUGGAAUUCGAGGUGUAGGAGUGAAAUGCGUAGAUAUCAGGAAGAACAUCGGUGGCGAAGGCAGCUAUCUGGCGCGUAACUGACGCUGAGGAGCGAAAGCGUGGGUAGCGAACAGGAUUAGAUACCCGAGUAGUC
RNAcentral lists this ribosomal RNA (460 nucleotides) under uncultured bacterium. RNAcentral describes it as "partial 16S ribosomal RNA". It matches the Rfam family "Bacterial small subunit ribosomal RNA", at positions 338 to 795 of the family's 1533-position model. The record is from RNAcentral.